RNAcentral lists this ribosomal RNA (468 nucleotides) under uncultured bacterium. Its description in RNAcentral is "partial 16S ribosomal RNA". It matches the Rfam family "Bacterial small subunit ribosomal RNA", at positions 28 to 507 of the family's 1533-position model. The record is from RNAcentral.
GACGAACGCUGGCGGCGUGCUUAACACAUGCAAGUCGAACGGAAAGGCCCUGCUUUUGUGGGGUGCUCGAGUGGCGAACGGGUGAGUAACACGUGAGUAACCUGCCCUUGACUUUGGGAUAACUUCAGGAAACUGGGGCUAAUACCGGAUAGGAGCUCCUGCUGCAUGGUGGGGGUUGGAUAGUUUCGGCGGUUGGGGAUGGACUCGCGGCUUAUCAGCUUGUUGGUGGGGUAGUGGCUUACCAAGGCUUUGACGGGUAGCCGGCCUGAGAGGGUGACCGGCCACAUUGGGACUGAGAUACGGCCCAGACUCCUACGGGAGGCAGCAGUGGGGAAUAUUGCACAAUGGGCGGAAGACUGAUGCAGCAACGCCGCGUGCGGGAUGACGGCCUUCGGGUUGUAAACCGCUUUCGCCUGUGACGAAGCGUGAGUGACGGUAAUGGGUAAAGAAGCACCGGCUAACUACGUG